Molecule: ribosomal RNA, 254 nt
Filed under: uncultured bacterium
Lineage: Bacteria
Description: partial 16S ribosomal RNA
Rfam family: Bacterial small subunit ribosomal RNA
Source: RNAcentral
UACGGGGGGGGCAAGCGUUGUUCGGAAUUACUGGGCGUAAAGGGCUCGUAGGCGGCCAACUAAGUCAGACGUGAAAUCCCUCGGCUUAACCGGGGAACUGCGUCUGAGACUGGAUGGCUCGAGUAUGGGAGAGGGAUGCGGAAUUCCAGGUGUAGCGGUGAAAUGCGUAGAUAUCUGGAGGAACAUCGGUGGCGAAGGCGGCAUCCUGGACCAUGACUGACGCUGAGUGAGCGAAAGCCAGGGGAGCAAACGGG